Neofelis nebulosa (Clouded leopard) is the source of this 804-nucleotide long non-coding RNA. RefSeq lists it as uncharacterized. Lineage: Eukaryota; Metazoa; Chordata; Mammalia; Carnivora; Felidae. The record is from RefSeq and is a predicted model, not a curated record. The transcript is spliced from 2 exons.
UUGAUGUUAAGGAUUUUAUCAUGCUUUUAAUUUUGUAUUUCUUACAGAACCUUGGACAGUACUGGACUUGUAAGAGAUGCUGUACCUAUAUGUACCAAUUGCUUGCUUUGGUACUAUAGGCUUAUAUUUUUCCCAUUGCUGUAUCUGGAUCAGCAAGAGGCAAAAAAGGAAACCUGGACCCUCCUUCUCCUCACAGACAUGCUGAUUCAACAACAUGGACCAAUUUCUUUUGUUAGAAAUCCAGAAACCUGUUGAAAGGCUCUUGCCACUGAGAUGAUAGGGACAAAAGCCAAAAUGAAUAAAAUGGCACCUUACUCAUAAUCUCUUCCUCCUACUCCGUGCCACACAAUCAUGAGAAAAACCAGAAUUCCCAGCUUCUCCCUAAGAAGGGAAGGAGAAGACUGGACCAUAUGUCCAAAGUUCAGACUAUUUAGGGGGCUGCCCAAGGUACCAAUUACUGUACUCACUAGGAGCACUGAUUGGAAAAGGGCCCAGGUCUGGGAACACUGAGAAUAUAGUCCGCGGUUUGAAUUAGCACGCUCUAUUAGCCAAAGUUCUUCCCCUGGUUCAGCACUGAGCAAGAGAGAACACCCAAAUCCUUCCUUCUCCCUGGGAAGGGAAAGAGUCGAAGCAUGCAAGAGGGAAAGAGAAAAAUAAAACAUAUAUCUAACAUUCAGACUUUCCAGGGAGCUCCCCAAGGGACUGGUUUUUGUCUUGCCUGUCUCUAAGUACGGACAGGAUAUAGUACACUCUGGAUGCCUGGGGACCAGCGUAUGCUGCUUCUUCACAGGAACUACAAGAUAA